GGAUAAUACUUACCUGUUCCUCCUCUUGGAGGGCAGAAUAGAAUGUGAU
RNAcentral lists this small nuclear RNA (49 nucleotides) under Cervus elaphus hippelaphus. Lineage: Eukaryota; Metazoa; Chordata; Mammalia; Artiodactyla; Cervidae. The record is from RNAcentral.